This 1382-nucleotide long non-coding RNA is filed under the name Marmota monax (woodchuck). Lineage: Eukaryota; Metazoa; Chordata; Mammalia; Rodentia; Sciuridae. The record is from RNAcentral.
CCCCGCCCCCGCCGCCUCCGCGUGGUGCGCUCUGCGCAGGCGCGAGCCCGGGCGGCCGGGGUGGCUGCAGAGCUCGCGGUGUGGUAGGUGCCGGGCUUUCAGGAGAUGGGCACCGAGACCAGGCGAGGCGUUGGGGGGCCGGGGCCAGGGCGCGGGGUCCGGGUCUGCGGAUGCGCACGGACACACCUUGAAUCUUUAUGUGGACCUCCGAGAGUUUUUCAGAACUAGAGAAUGGAGUUAACAAAAGAGUAUCUGUCGUCAGCCCAAGACUUAAUCCCAAAUCUUGCCACCCGUAGGACUGGGGACAACUCCUGGGUAUCCUUUUGCCCCCAGUGUCUUCCAAAGUUCCUCCACAUUUUGCCUGGUCGCCAGUAACCCUUCGUUCUCUCUGGGCACUACAUGGGUUCUUUGGCGCGACCUGGAGGACUCACCUUGCCUUUGGUGGGCCGGCACUACCGGCCUCUUCUAGAAGGUAAGGAACUGGACUGUCCUCCUGUCUGACAAUCAGAAUUUCCCUUGAUGGAUAGUUGAUAGUUUGGAUGAUGAAAGGCAAAGGGUGUGUGUAUUAAGCGGGGUCACUUCUGUUUCAAACUCUUUCUAUACCCUUUUGGGCCCAAAUCAGAAUCUCCUAGCUUUUUUUUUUUUUAGAUAUUGAUGAACCUUUAUUUGUAUGAGGUGCUGAGGAUCGAACCCAGUGCUUCAUGCAUGCUAGGCAAGUGCUCUACCAUUGAGCACAACCCCAGCCCCAGAACCUCAGUGCCCUAGUGCCAGCUUCAGCUCUUUCCUCCUGGAAAUACCUCUGCAGGCCAGCUGUGGGGCUUCCACUGUUCUGAAAGAAUACCCAUCCUGUUUGCUUGCUGGCUUGCCUGCAGAGAACUCCCAUGUUCUCAGCAAGGCAGAAUCUACUAUGCUAGUGAAGCCAGAUUUAAAGUUAGGUAGUCAGUGUAGUUAGAUAAAUCGGGUCUAAUAUCGAGUGAAAUCUAAAAUGGAGACCAUGCGGAGAAUGACUCAGGGAAAACACAGGACAACUCAUGGAAAAGGCCCUAGGCCAAAGUCCACCUCAAAGAAAUGUUAAUGAACAGCCCCCAGCAAAAAGGUGCUGACUCAGAAGUCCUUCCUGACCAGAUUACUUCUUUGGCCCACCUGUGUCCCACCCCUCGGGCCUUCCCACCUACAUUCCAUCACUGAAAGAACUAUAAAAAGGGGAGACAACAUCCCUUCCACGGAUUCCACCUCUUGGGUACCCUUCUUCCUCCGGGAGAAGUCUUUUCUGCUGUCCUUUAAUAAACUUCUAAUUUCUACUCUGACCUUGCCUCGGCGUGCUUCUUUGGUGUUAUUCUUCAACAUUGGGGAAGCAAGGACUCGUCACCGGUCAACAGCGG